GACGAACGCUGGCGGCGUGCUUAACACAUGCAAGUCGUACGGAAAGGCCCUGCUUUUGUGGGGUGCUCGAGUGGCGAACGGGUGAGUAACACGUGAGUAACCUGCCCUUGACUUUGGGAUAACUUCAGGAAACUGGGGCUAAUACCGGAUAGGAGCUCCUGCUGCAUGGUGGGGGUUGGAAAGUUUCGGCGGUUGGGGAUGGACUCGCGGCUUAUCAGCUUGUUGGUGGGGUAGUGGCUUACCAAGGCUUUGACGGGUAGCCGGCCUGAGAGGGUGACCGGCCACAUUGGGACUGAGAUGCGGCCCAGACUCCUACGGGAGGCAGCAGUGGGGAAUAUUGCACAAUGGGCGGAAGCCUGAUGCAGCAACGCCGCGUGCGGGAUGACGGCCUUCGGGUUGUAAACCGCUUUCGCCUGUGACGAAGCGUGAGUGACGGUAAUGGGUAAAGAAGCACCGGCUAACUACGUG
This 468-nucleotide ribosomal RNA is filed under the name uncultured bacterium. RNAcentral's name for it is "partial 16S ribosomal RNA". It matches the Rfam family "Bacterial small subunit ribosomal RNA", at positions 28 to 507 of the family's 1533-position model. The record is from RNAcentral.